This 486-nucleotide ribosomal RNA is filed under the name uncultured bacterium. RNAcentral's name for it is "bacterial SSU rRNA". It matches the Rfam family "Bacterial small subunit ribosomal RNA", at positions 344 to 822 of the family's 1533-position model. The record is from RNAcentral.
GGAGGCAGCAGUAGGGAAUCUUCCACAAUGGGCGAAAGCCUGAUGGAGCAACGCCGCGUGGGUGAAGAAGGUCUUCGGAUCGUAAAACCCUGUUGUUAGAGAAGAAAGUGCGUGAGAGUAACUGUUCACGUUUCGACGGUAUCUAACCAGAAAGCCACGGCUAACUACGUGCCAGCAGCCGCGGUAAUACGUAGGUGGCAAGCGUUAUCCGGAUUUAUUGGGCGUAAAGGGAACGCAGGCGGUCUUUUAAGUCUGAUGUGAAAGCCUUCGGCUUAACCGAAGUAGUGCAUUGGAAACUGGGAGACUUGAGUGCAGAAGAGGAGAGUGGAACUCCAUGUGUAGCGGUGAAAUGCGUAGAUAUAUGGAAGAACACCAGUGGCGAAAGCGGCUCUCUGGUCUGUAACUGACGCUGAGGUUCGAAAGCGUGGGUAGCAAACAGGAUUAGAUACCCUGGUAGUCCACGCCGUAAACGAUGAAUGCUAAGUG